Molecule: ribosomal RNA, 440 nt
Filed under: Escherichia coli
Lineage: Bacteria; Pseudomonadati; Pseudomonadota; Gammaproteobacteria; Enterobacterales; Enterobacteriaceae
Description: bacterial SSU rRNA
Rfam family: Bacterial small subunit ribosomal RNA
Source: RNAcentral
CUACUGGAAACGGUAGCUAAUACCGCAUAACGUCGCAAGACCAAAGAGGGGGACCUUCGGGCCUCUUGCCAUCGGAUGUGCCCAGAUGGGAUUAGCUAGUAGGUGGGGUAACGGCUCACCUAGGCGACGAUCCCUAGCUGGUCUGAGAGGAUGACCAGCCACACUGGAACUGAGACACGGUCCAGACUCCUACGGGAGGCAGCAGUGGGGAAUAUUGCACAAUGGGCGCAAGCCUGAUGCAGCCAUGCCGCGUGUAUGAAGAAGGCCUUCGGGUUGUAAAGUACUUUCAGCGGGGAGGAAGGGAGUAAAGUUAAUACCUUUGCUCAUUGACGUUACCCGCAGAAGAAGCACCGGCUAACUCCGUGCCAGCAGCCGCGGUAAUACGGAGGGUGCAAGCGUUAAUCGGAAUUACUGGGCGUAAAGCGCACGCAGGCGGUUUG